Molecule: transfer RNA, 71 nt
Filed under: Loxodonta africana (African savanna elephant)
Lineage: Eukaryota; Metazoa; Chordata; Mammalia; Proboscidea; Elephantidae
Rfam family: tRNA
About the family: Transfer RNA (tRNA) molecules are approximately 80 nucleotides in length. Their secondary structure includes four short double-helical elements and three loops (D, anti-codon, and T loops).
Source: Rfam by way of RNAcentral
GCAGUAGUGAUUCAGUGGUAGAAUUCUCACCUUCUAUGCAGGGGACCCUGGUUAGAUUCCUGGCCAAUGCA